Molecule: long non-coding RNA, 322 nt
Filed under: Pongo abelii (Sumatran orangutan)
Lineage: Eukaryota; Metazoa; Chordata; Mammalia; Primates; Hominidae
Description: lincRNA
Source: RNAcentral
GUGUUACCAUGAGAAAAUAUCUUGAACUUCUACUCUGUACUUCACCAUACAAGCAUUGAGCCUGGUGUUUUCUUUAAAUUGUUUUAUGAUUACUUAAAGCCAUUCUUUAUAAAUUUUACACCUCUGCUGGUCAGGUGGCCUAACUUUGGAAGACUCAGACUUUCAUCUGUGACAGUUCUAUAGUCACAGUCGCUAUGCCUUCUCAGGUCCUGGCUGCUGUGUUAUUACAUUGAUUCUCAAAGUUGUACAAGGGAAUAUCAAAAGACACCAAAGUGGAUUAGGAUUAGUUACUGUUAAAAAUAUUCCUUCUGCUUUACGUUCU